GUUUACGGCCAUACCAGCCUGAAUACGCCCGAUCUCGUCUGAUCUCGGAAGCUAAGCAGGGUCGGGCCUGGUUAGUACUUGCAUGGGAGACCGCCUGGGAAUACCAGGUGCUGUAAGCU
Molecule: ribosomal RNA, 119 nt
Filed under: Amphiprion percula (orange clownfish)
Lineage: Eukaryota; Metazoa; Chordata; Actinopteri; Pomacentridae
Source: RNAcentral